GGCGGACGUAGCCCAAUGGAUUAAGGCAGUGGAUUGUGG
Molecule: transfer RNA, 39 nt
Filed under: Aneura pinguis
Lineage: Eukaryota; Viridiplantae; Streptophyta; Jungermanniopsida; Metzgeriales; Aneuraceae
Description: partial tRNA-His
Source: RNAcentral